AGUAGCGGCGAGUGAAGCGGCAAAAGCUCAAAUUUGAAACCUGGCACUUUCAGUGUCCGAGUUGUAAUUUGAAGAAGGUAUCUUUGGGUCUGGCUCUUGUCUAUGUUUCUUGGAACAGAACGUCACAGAGGGUGAGAAUCCCGUGCGAUGAGAUGUCCCAGACCUAUGUAAAGUUCCUUCGAAGAGUCGAGUUGUUUGGGAAUGCAGCUCUAAGUGGGUGGUAAAUUCCAUCUAAAGCUAAAUAUUGGCGAGAGACCGAUAGCGAACAAGUACAGUGAUGGAAAGAUGAAAAGAACUUUGAAAAGAGAGUGAAAAAAGUACGUGAAAAUUGUUGAAAAGGGAAGGGGCUUGAGAUCAGACUUGGUAUUUUGUAUGUUACUCUCUCGGGGGUGGCCUCUACAGUUUACCGGGCCAGCAUCAGUUUGAGCGGUAGGAUAAGUGCAAAGAAAUGUGGCACUGCUUCGGUAGUGUGUUAUAGUCUUUGUCGAUACUGCCAGCUUAGACUGAGGACUGCGGCUUCGGCCUAGGAUGUUGGCAUAAUGAUCUUAAGUCGCCCGUCUUGAAACACGGACCAAGGAGUCUAACGUCUAUGCGAGUGUUUGGGUGUAAAACCCGUACGCGUAAUGAAAGUGAACGUAGGUAGGACCUCCUUUAGGAGUGCACUAUCGACCGAUCCUGAUGUCUUCGGAUGGAUUUGAGUAAGAGCAUAGCUGUUGGGACCCGAAAGAUGGUGAACUAUGCCUGAAUAGGGUGAAGCCGAGAGGUAAACUUCUGGUGGAGGCUUCGUAGGCGGUUCUGACGUGCAAAUCGAUCGUCG
RNAcentral lists this ribosomal RNA (817 nucleotides) under Lodderomyces parapsilosis. RNAcentral's name for it is "LSU rRNA". It matches the Rfam family "Eukaryotic large subunit ribosomal RNA", at positions 82 to 907 of the family's 3401-position model. Lineage: Eukaryota; Fungi; Ascomycota; Pichiomycetes; Serinales; Debaryomycetaceae. The record is from RNAcentral.